RNAcentral lists this transfer RNA (71 nucleotides) under Bos taurus (domestic cattle). It matches the Rfam family "tRNA". Rfam says of the family: Transfer RNA (tRNA) molecules are approximately 80 nucleotides in length. Their secondary structure includes four short double-helical elements and three loops (D, anti-codon, and T loops). RNAcentral also lists the same sequence under 2 other names. The record is from Rfam by way of RNAcentral. Lineage: Eukaryota; Metazoa; Chordata; Mammalia; Artiodactyla; Bovidae.
UCUCUGGUGGCUCAGUGGUAAAGAAUCUGCCUGCAAUGCAGGAGACCCAGGUUUGAUCCCUGGGUUGGGAA